CUUGACCAAAUUACGUGCCAGCAGUCGCGGCAAUACGCAGAAGACAAGUGUUAUUCAUCUUUAAUAGGUUUAAAGGGUAUCUAGACGGGAAAUCAAACCAUAGUAGGGACUAAUUUUCUAGAGUUUUAUGGGAGAAAGUCGAAUAUCUGGAGUAGAGAUAAAAUAUUGUGAUACCAGAGAGACGGGUAACGGCGUAGGCAACUUUCUAUGUAAAAACUGACGUUGAGGUACGAAGCCCUGGGUAACGAGAAGGAUUAGAUACCCCAGUAGUCCAGGGAGACAAUGAUGAGUGCCAUAGGCUAGAUUAAUUGGUCUAUAAAUGAAAGUGCAAGCAUUCCACCUUAAGACUAAAGCGGCAACGCCCAAAUUGAAAUCAUUAGACCGUUCCUGAAACCAGUAGUGAAGUAUGUUAUUUAAUUCGAUGAUCCGCGAAUAACCUUACCACGUUUUGAAUACUAUUCAAUUAAUACAAGCGCUGCACGGCUGUCUUUAGUUAAUGUCGUGAGACUUUGGUUAACUCCUUUAAUUAACGAAAACCCUUGUUUUAUUU
Molecule: ribosomal RNA, 550 nt
Filed under: Agonimia allobata
Lineage: Eukaryota; Fungi; Ascomycota; Eurotiomycetes; Verrucariales; Verrucariaceae
Description: SSU rRNA
Rfam family: Bacterial small subunit ribosomal RNA
Source: RNAcentral